RNAcentral lists this transfer RNA (76 nucleotides) under Luteolibacter pohnpeiensis. RNAcentral's name for it is "tRNA-Met". It matches the Rfam family "tRNA". Rfam says of the family: Transfer RNA (tRNA) molecules are approximately 80 nucleotides in length. Their secondary structure includes four short double-helical elements and three loops (D, anti-codon, and T loops). Lineage: Bacteria; Pseudomonadati; Verrucomicrobiota; Verrucomicrobiia; Verrucomicrobiales; Verrucomicrobiaceae. The record is from RNAcentral.
CGCAGGGUAGCUCAGUUGGUAGAGCAUCUGACUCAUAAUCAGAAGGUCAAGGGUUCGAGUCCCUUCCCCGCAACCA